UCUCUUAACAGUUUGCUGGAUAGUGGCUUGAAGAAGAUCAGUGAUGAGAUUUUUCUGCCAAAAAUAUAUUAUUACAAAUCACCAGGUUAUUAACACCCAUUUGAGAUUCGGUAUUUUUUUUCAUCUAAUGGAACUGAAUGAAAUGUUUGACUGACCUGAUGACAGCUAGUGCCUCAACCCUGUCCGCAGAUGCUCUUGUUUUGAAGUGACCGGAAGAAGCGGCAACAUGGCGGCGGCAAACCCGGGAAGUUCUUCGCUGGCCCAAAUAGCUGGGGAGAGGGAACUCUGGGUCUCUCUGCUCAGGCUGGUGCCUCUGCAACCCGACCCGACCCCACCCCGGAUAAGUGGAAGAAAAUGGAUGGAUGGAUGGACGGACGGACGGAUGGAUGGAUGUUACGGGGGAGCUGGUGCCCAUCUCCUGCGGUCUACCUGCAUGAGGUGAGGUGCACCCUGGACAAGUCGCCAGUCCAUCGCAGAGCAACACAGAGACACAGGACAAACAACCAUGCACACCUAAAGGCAAUAGAGAGAGACCAAUUAAUCUAACAGUCAUGUUUUCGGACUGUGGGAGGAAGCCGGAGUACCAGGAGAGAACCCAUGCAUGUACAGGGAGAACAUGCAAACUCCCUGCAGAAAGACCCCCGGCCGGGAGUCAAACCCAGGACCUUCAUGUGUAUAACUUUGAAACUAAAGAGUUGCCCGCUAUUGUAAGCAACGAGGACCAGUCAACAUUCUUACAAGAUUUUUUCUUCUAGAACAUUUUUUCAUUCACAGCUCAGAGGUGACUUGGGCCAAUUUGUUUAAGGAAUAUUUCACAUUAAAAAAUAUUUUCAAUAAUUUAGAAUCUGAUGUAACACUUUUCUGAGCCAAUUCUGCAAUUAUUUAAAGGACCUUCUGUUUGUGGUAUUCAGAGAAAGAACAAGGUGAAGGCACGGACGUAAACUGACAUACCAGUCAUACUCUUGUCGUACACCACAGUUUGUUUUAGCCAACAGGAUUGAACUUGAGUGGAUUAGUCUUUGUAAGAAAAACAGAAAUUAAAUCACAAAUUCAGGGCUGUCAGUGCAAUUGAGGGUAAAAAGCAAAGAUAGUUCACUGCAUAGCCUGAGGUGCAGACAUGCCCAACCACAACCAUUGCCAUUAGAAGAGGUCAUACAAAGGCAAACACAAACACAACAAAUCAAACACACCAGUCAUUAGAAGAGCAUGAAUACAAUCAGUUAGAGAGUGAAUGCCCUGCAGAACACCUUAGAAAGCAGGGCCAUGCAGAGACCAUAAAAGGGGCAGGUGCAGGGGCAGUAAAAAAAAAGGGGACACAUAACCGGAUUCUAGGGCAGAAUAUUAGCAAGAACCUCACACAGCUUUUACACUUCAAUGUACUAUGAUGUAUUACAAAAAAGUAAACAAUGCAAUAGUUAAAUAAAAUGCAGGGAAAACUAUAAUAUAGAACACAACAACAUGCAGAUGUGAAUUAAAUAUUUUAUUGUGAUCUGUAUUUCAUUCUGCAGGACUCAUUUCAUCAUAGAGAAGUACUGAGACAUUCAAAGCUACACAUGAGCAGAAUAUGUAAAUUAGAGAGCUAGAUUACUGAACGUAUUUUGUUUUUUUACACAAUUACACUGUUAAAAAUAUAAACAGAGAGUCACAAUACAACCUUUUAGUGUACUAUAAUAAAGACCCUAAUGAUA
This is a long non-coding RNA of Girardinichthys multiradiatus, 1688 nucleotides long. RefSeq lists it as uncharacterized. The record is from RefSeq and is a predicted model, not a curated record. Lineage: Eukaryota; Metazoa; Chordata; Actinopteri; Cyprinodontiformes; Goodeidae. The transcript is spliced from 3 exons.